CCCAAGAAUUUCUGAUGCUUCAUUCUUCAAUCUAUCAUACAAAUCAGUUAACCUCAAGUCGCAACUACUUCAUGGAGGCCAAGGAUCACAUCUGGAAUCUGUCAUCAGGAAAAGGAUCAUGGAUUUUCUUAAUAUUUCUCAAAAUGAUUACUGUAUGGUAUUUACUGCAAAUAAAUCAUCAGCUUUCAAGCUACUAGCAGAAUCCUACCCUUUCCAACACAGCCGAAACCUUCUCACAGUUUAUGACUACGAGAGUGAAGCACUGCAGACCAUGGUGAAUACAUCAGAGAGAAGAGGAGCCAAAAUCAUGUCAGCUGAGUUCAAGUGGCCACGGCUAAGGGUUCACUCAACAAAACUCAGGAAAAUGAUUGGCAGGAAGAAUAAAAAGAAAAAACACCAGGGUCUAUUUGUCAUACCCCUCCAGUCGAGAAUGACUGGUGCCAGUUACUCUUAUCAGUGGAUGAGUAUCGCACAAGAAAAUGGCUGGCAUGUCUUGCUUGACGGCUGUGCAUUGGGACCAAAAGACAUGGGCAGCUUUGGGCUUUCACUCUUCCGUCCUGACUUCCUCAUUUGCUCCUUCUACAAGGUUAUUGGGGAAAACCCAACCGGAUUCGGAUGCCU
RNAcentral lists this long non-coding RNA (621 nucleotides) under Coffea arabica (coffee). Its description in RNAcentral is "long non-coding RNA (CARA_LNC007821)". The record is from RNAcentral. Lineage: Eukaryota; Viridiplantae; Streptophyta; Magnoliopsida; Gentianales; Rubiaceae.